UAUAUUCUACAUGGAUAACUGUGGUAAUUCUAGAGCUAAUACAUGCAACCAGCCCGGCUGCCUCGUGCAGCGGGCGCAGUUAUUAGAACAAAACCAAUCCGGCCUUCGGGUCGGUUUACUGGUGACUCUGAAUAACCGAAGCGGAGCGCUAAGGUCUCGUACCGGCGCCAGAUCUUUCAAGUGUCUGACUUAUCAGCUUGUAGCGAGGUUAUGUUCCUCGCUUGGCUCUCACGGGUGACGGGGAAUCAGGGUCCGAUUCCGGAGAGGGAGCCUGAGAAACGGCUACCACAUCCAAGGAAGGCAGCAGGCGCGCAAAUUAUCCACUCCCGGCACGGGGAGAUAGUGACGAAAAAUAACGAUGCCAGAGUCAUUGACUUUUGGUAAUCGGAAUGGGUACACUUUAAAUCCUUUAACGAGGAUCUAUUGGAGGGCAAGUCUGGUGCCAGCAGCCGCGGUAAUUCCAGCUCCAAUAGCGUAUAUUAAAGUUGCUGCGGUUAAAAAGCUCGUAUUGGAUCCGGGCAGUCGACGCGCGGUGCGCCUUACGGUGUUACUGCGUGCUUCGGCGCCACUAUCCGGCCAUGUCUUGCAUGUACUUUACUGUACGUGCUUGGCGACCGGGACGUUUACUUUGAAAAAAUUAGAGUGCUUAAAGCAGGCAUAUGGCCUUGAAUAAUGGUGCAUGGAAUAAUGGAAUAGGACCUCGGUUCUAUUUUGUUGGUUUUCGGAGCUCGAG
Molecule: ribosomal RNA, 733 nt
Filed under: Isohypsibius arbiter
Lineage: Eukaryota; Metazoa; Tardigrada; Eutardigrada; Parachela; Isohypsibiidae
Description: SSU rRNA
Rfam family: Eukaryotic small subunit ribosomal RNA
Source: RNAcentral